Molecule: long non-coding RNA, 261 nt
Filed under: Cucumis sativus (cucumber)
Lineage: Eukaryota; Viridiplantae; Streptophyta; Magnoliopsida; Cucurbitales; Cucurbitaceae
Description: long non-coding RNA (CSAT_LNC001822)
Source: RNAcentral
GUCAAUUUGCCAACCUCCUUCUCUAUCGACACCUAAUCUUCUCUCAUAUGUGUUUACAGAAAAAGGUUCACUCUCCUCUCUCUCUAUGACUGUCGGCUGCUCCUCUUCCUUUUUCCUAUUUUCUUUUGUUUAAUUAAAAGACCUAAAGUGGAAGAUGAAAGAUUUACACAAAUACCAUUGAGGCAUAAUUACCAAUUUACUGUCAACAUAAAACUCAUUUUAAACUAUUUAAAUAUUUGUCAUUUUUAUACAAAGUCAUUU